RNAcentral lists this unclassified non-coding RNA (392 nucleotides) under soil metagenome. RNAcentral's name for it is "partial contains 5.8S ribosomal RNA, internal transcribed spacer 2, and large subunit ribosomal RNA". The stretch from base 1 to 120 matches the Rfam family "5.8S ribosomal RNA", at positions 35 to 154 of the family's 154-position model. The record is from RNAcentral.
GAUGAAGAACGCAGCGAAAUGCGAUAAGUAAUGUGAAUUGCAGAAUUCAGUGAAUCAUCGAAUCUUUGAACGCACCUUGCGCCCCUUGGUAUUCCGAGGGGCAUGCCUGUUUGAGUGUCAUUAAAUUCUCAACUUUCUAGGUUUCUUUGUAAACUCUAGUAAAGCUUGGACUUGGAGUCUGCUGGCUUUCUUGGAGAGUCAGCUUCUCUUUAAAUGAAUUAGCGAAACCUUUGUGGAUCAGCUUUGGUGUGAUAAUUAUCUACACCGUUGCUGUGAAAACAGUCUUGAAGGAUUUGCUUCUAGCUGUCUUUGGACAAACUCUUAAUUGACAAUUUGACCUCAAAUCAGGUAGGACUACCCGCUGAACUUAAGCAUAUCAAAUAAGCGGAGGA